This 525-nucleotide ribosomal RNA is filed under the name uncultured bacterium. Its description in RNAcentral is "bacterial SSU rRNA". It matches the Rfam family "Bacterial small subunit ribosomal RNA", at positions 8 to 524 of the family's 1533-position model. The record is from RNAcentral.
AGAGUUUGAUCAUGGCUCAGAUUGAACGCUGGCGGCAGGCUUAACACAUGCAAGUCGAGUGGUAACAGGGGUAGCUUGCUACCCGCUGACGAGCGGCGGACGGGUGAGUAACGCGUAGAAAUCUGCCUAGUAGUGGGGGAUAGCCCAGAGAAAUUUGGAUUAAUACCGCAUACGCCCUACGGGGGAAAGAAGGGGACCUUCGGGCCUUUUGCUAUUAGAUGAGUCUGCGUCGGAUUAGCUAGUUGGUGGGGUAAUGGCCUACCAAGGCGACGAUCCGUAGCUGGUCUGAGAGGAUGAUCAGCCACACUGGGACUGAGACACGGCCCAGACUCCUACGGGAGGCAGCAGUGGGGAAUAUUGCACAAUGGGCGCAAGCCUGAUGCAGCCAUGCCGCGUGUGUGAAGAAGGCCUUAGGGUUGUAAAGCACUUUCAGCAGUGAGGAAAGGAAUGUAGUUAAUAACUGCAUUCUGUGACGUUAACUGCAGAAGAAGGACCGGCUAACUCCGUGCCAGCAGCCGCGGUAAU